This 448-nucleotide ribosomal RNA is filed under the name uncultured bacterium. RNAcentral describes it as "bacterial SSU rRNA". It matches the Rfam family "Bacterial small subunit ribosomal RNA", at positions 355 to 825 of the family's 1533-position model. The record is from RNAcentral.
UGGGGAAUUUUGGACAAUGGGGGCAACCCUGAUCCAGCAAUGCCGCGUGGGGGAUGAAGGCCCUAGGGUCGUAAACCCCUUUCAGCAGGGACGAAGAUGACGGUACCUGCAGAAGAAGCCCCGGCCAACUACGUGCCAGCAGCCGCGGUAAGACGUAGGGGGCGAGCGUUGUCCGGAUUUAUUGGGCGUAAAGAGCUCGUAGGCGGUUGCGUAAGUCGGAUGUGAAAACUCAGGGCUCAACCCUGAGACGCCAUCCGAUACUGCGCUGACUUGAAUCCAGUAGGGGAGUGCGGAAUUCCUGGUGUAGCGGUGAAAUGCGCAGAUAUCAGGAGGAACACCCAUGGCGAAGGCAGCACUCUGGGCUGGUAUUGACGCUGAGGAGCGAAAGCAUGGGUAGCGAACAGGAUUAGAUACCCUUGUAGUCCCUGAGCGGGCUGGCAAGGCGCAU